RNAcentral lists this ribosomal RNA (765 nucleotides) under uncultured Porphyromonadaceae bacterium. RNAcentral describes it as "bacterial SSU rRNA". It matches the Rfam family "Bacterial small subunit ribosomal RNA", at positions 70 to 827 of the family's 1533-position model. The record is from RNAcentral. Lineage: Bacteria; Pseudomonadati; Bacteroidota; Bacteroidia; Bacteroidales; Porphyromonadaceae.
CAUGGUCUUAGCUUGCUAAGACUGAUGGCGACCGGCGCACGGGUGCGUAACGCGUAUGCAACUUGCCUCACAGAGGGGGAUAACCCGUCGAAAGACGGACUAAUACCGCGUACACUCCACCUUGGGCAUCCAAGGAGGAGGAAAUGAAAUUCGCUGUGAGAUAGGCAUGCGUCCCAUUAGCUAGUUGGUGAGGUAACGGCUCACCAAGGCGACGAUGGGUAGGGGAACUGAGAGGUUGAACCCCCACACUGGUACUGAGACACGGACCAGACUCCUACGGGAGGCAGCAGUGAGGAAUAUUGGUCAAUGGGCGAGAGCCUGAACCAGCCAAGUCGCGUGAAGGAUGACUGUCUUAUGGAUUGUAAACUUCUUUUAUACGGGAAUAACAAGAGCUACGUGUGGCUCCCUGCAUGUACCGUAUGAAUAAGCAUCGGCUAACUCCGUGCCAGCAGCCGCGGUAAUACGGAGGAUGCGAGCGUUAUCCGGAUUUAUUGGGUUUAAAGGGUGCGUAGGCGGCCUGUUAAGUCAGCGGUGAAAUCUAGGAGCUUAACUCCUAAAUUGCCAUUGAAACUGGCGGGCUUGAGUGUAGAUGAGGUAGGCGGAAUGCGUGGUGUAGCGGUGGAAUGCAUAGAUAUCACGCAGAACUCCAAUUGCGAAGGCAGCUUACUAAGGUACAACUGACGCUGAAGCACGAAAGCGUGGGUAUCAAACAGGAUUAGAUAACCUGGUAGUCCACGCAGUAAACGAUGAUAACUGGGCGUAUGC